Molecule: ribosomal RNA, 451 nt
Filed under: uncultured bacterium
Lineage: Bacteria
Description: partial 16S ribosomal RNA
Rfam family: Bacterial small subunit ribosomal RNA
Source: RNAcentral
GUGGGGAAUAUUGCGCAAUGGGGGAAACCCUGACGCAGCGACGCCGUGUGAGGGAAGAAGGCUUUCGGGUCGUAAACCUCUGUCAGAAAGGAAGAACCUCCCAAGUCCGAAUAGGGCUUGGGACUGACGGUACUUUCAAAGGAAGCACCGGCUAACUCCGUGCCAGCAGCCGCGGUAAUACGGAGGGUGCAAGCGUUAAUCGGAAUCACUGGGCGUAAAGCGCGCGUAGGCCGCUUUGUAAGUCGGACGUGAAAGCCCUCGGCUCAACCGGGGAACUGCGGUCGAUACUGCGAGGCUUGAGUCCUGGAGAGGGUGGCGGAAUUCCGGGUGUAGGAGUGAAAUCCGUAGAUAACCGGAGGAACACCGGUGGCGAAGGCGGCCACCUGGACAGGUACUGACGCUGAGGCGCGAAAGCGUGGGGAGCAAACAGGAUUAGAAACCCCUGUAGUCC